Molecule: long non-coding RNA, 224 nt
Filed under: Lathyrus oleraceus (garden pea)
Lineage: Eukaryota; Viridiplantae; Streptophyta; Magnoliopsida; Fabales; Fabaceae
Description: Pisum sativum (pea) long non-coding RNA (PSAT_LNC005721)
Source: RNAcentral
CUCCUGCAACUUAUUCAUUUUAUUUCUCAAUGCCCUUGGGCAAUCAUUAUCCACCUGACCGUUUGAUCUCUCUUUUUGUUUUUGGUUCAGGCAUUUCUUGCAUUACUUUUUUCUUUUUUUAUAUCUUUUCUUUCUUUUUCUUUUUUUUUUAAGCAGGAUCGACCUCGAUUCCUCUUUCAUUCACAAUAAGCCUCGGCAACUUACCAGACAGCACUCCACAAGUG